Molecule: ribosomal RNA, 253 nt
Filed under: uncultured bacterium
Lineage: Bacteria
Description: partial 16S ribosomal RNA
Rfam family: Bacterial small subunit ribosomal RNA
Source: RNAcentral
UACGGAGGGUGCAAGCGUUAUCCGGAUUCACUGGGUUUAAAGGGUGCGUAGGCGGGUAUAUAAGUCAGUGGUGAAAGCUCCGGGCUUAACUUGGAAACUGCCAUUGAUACUGCAUAUCUUGAAUAUCGUAGAGGUUAGCGGAAUGUUGCAUGUAGCGGUGAAAUGCUUAGAUAUGUUACAGAACACCAAUUGCGAAGGCAGCUAACUAUGCGAAAAUUGACGCUGAGGCACGAAAGCGUGGGGAGCAAACAGG